CAGCGCCACGAGUGGGAACUACAAUUAUUGGGCCUGAAGCGUCCGUAGCCGGUUUAGUAAAUUUCUUGUGAAAUUGUUGAGCUUAACUUAACAACGUGCAGGAAAGACUGCUAAACUUGGGACUGGGAGGAGUUAGAAGUAUUUUUGGGGUAGCGGUAAAAUGUUAUAAUCCCAAAGAGACUACCUAUGGCGAAAGCAUCUAACUAGAACAGGUCCGACGGUGAGGGACGAAAGCUAGGGGAGCAAAACGGAUUAGAUACCCGAGUAGUCC
This 271-nucleotide ribosomal RNA is filed under the name uncultured archaeon. RNAcentral's name for it is "partial 16S ribosomal RNA". It matches the Rfam family "Archaeal small subunit ribosomal RNA", at positions 477 to 747 of the family's 1478-position model. The record is from RNAcentral.